CCCUUAGAUGCUCUGGGCCGCACGCGCGCUACACUGGUCGAUGCAACGAGUUUCUUUCCUUGGCCGACAGGCCUGGGCAAUCUUUGAACAUCGAUCGUGAUCGGGAUAGAUUCUUGUAAUUUUUGAUCUUAAACGAGGAAUUCCUAGUAAACGCAAGCCAUCAGCUUGCAUUGAUUACGUCCCUGCCCUUUGUACACACCGCCCGUCGCACCUACCGAUUGAAUGGUCCGGUGAAAUCUCCGGACUGGCGUGAGUCGGAGCAAUCUGACAAACACCGGAAAGUUGAUUAAACCUUACCAUUUAGAGGAAGGUGAAGUCGUAACA
This 324-nucleotide ribosomal RNA is filed under the name uncultured eukaryote. Its description in RNAcentral is "partial 18S ribosomal RNA". It matches the Rfam family "Eukaryotic small subunit ribosomal RNA", at positions 1470 to 1796 of the family's 1831-position model. The record is from RNAcentral.